GCCUCUCUCUCUCUCUCUAUCUCUUUCUCUCUCUAACUGUCUGUUCUCUGUUUCAAUAUAUUACAUAUGCAUAACAUCUCUCUCUCUCUUUUUCUCUCUCUAAAUAAAAUUGCCUUCUCUCUCUCUUUCUUUCUCUCAAUAUAUACACGAGGGAAGUAGUCACCUUUCAUUAUAUAAUGUAGCUAGCUGAGAGAAAAUUGCCGCUUCCUCACUCUAUUCUUCUUCAACUCAACUAUCGCGUCUCUCUUCCUUUCUCAAAAACAUCCAAGAUCCAACUCAAAUAGUGGCGGAGUUAGACCAUCACAUGCAAGUUUUCGCUUGAUUAGUAUUUUUCUUUUUUUUAUUUUUUAUUUUUUUGGACAAGUUCUGAGUGAUUGGAUCCUAAUCAUGAUCCAGGGAUUGCCAUCCAUUGUCGAUCAGGACAAGCCUAGGUAGGCACACACCUUCAAACGAAUCCUUUAAUUCCUUCCAAAACGCCUAACCCUAAAGUAGAAUGCAUCCCACGUGCCCCAACCAAAAAUGUCCCGAGGGGUUUUCUCCUCCAAAAGCCUGGAAGUUCCCAAAUGAACUUUCGUUCAUGGCGUCCUUAACAUGAGUGAAAGGAUGGAAUCAUCGAUAUCGCCAGUGUGAAGAUAAAGAAGGCUUUGGAAUUCAGUUGAAAAGGCUUUCGUCAAGCCUCUUGAACCAAUUCCUAAUGGGUUGUCCACCAGACCUUGAACCUGAAUAUGCUCAUGAACUUAAUGUCCCUUAGUUUGCUGAUAGGGAGAACGUCUCGUCUACUUGAUUGGCUAGCAUCAAAGCCGACGAAGCAGUCGACAAGUGACGGAGUGGCUAUGAUGCUAUCUGGAAUGUCGGAGAGAAUCAAAUGGUCGUUGGGCAGCAAGUUUGAUUUCUUAUUGUUCCGAAGCAAUAUGAUUUUGAUUACUUUAAUCUUUGAUUUAGAUGGUGACGGUAUCAGCCCAUUUACAUUAAUGUUUUGCUUUGGAUUAGUAUUUUUCUUUUUACGUCUUUUUGGCUUAUUUAUUGCUUUCUUAGUUUUGUUUGUU
Ziziphus jujuba (common jujube) is the source of this 1046-nucleotide long non-coding RNA. RefSeq lists it as uncharacterized. The transcript is spliced from 2 exons. Lineage: Eukaryota; Viridiplantae; Streptophyta; Magnoliopsida; Rosales; Rhamnaceae. The record is from RefSeq and is a predicted model, not a curated record.